RNAcentral lists this long non-coding RNA (12838 nucleotides) under Theobroma cacao (cacao). RNAcentral describes it as "long non-coding RNA (TCAC_LNC005722)". The record is from RNAcentral. Lineage: Eukaryota; Viridiplantae; Streptophyta; Magnoliopsida; Malvales; Malvaceae.
GUCCAAGCUUCAGCUGUGUGGAGUGUGGGUUUUACCUUGACAAGAAGUGCGCCGAGGCACCUUCACAGCUGAAUCACCCCUUUCAUCAUAACCACAGCCUUAAUCUUCUAGCAAGCUCGCCAUAUGAUGCAAGUCUGUCUGUUAUUUGUGAUUUCUGUGACGAAAUAUGUGACAGGUUUGUUUAUCAUUGUUCUUGUGAAUUAGACCUUCAUAUCAAAUGUGCUUUGUUUUCAUAUAACAUUGCUGAAAAAAGAAUUGGAGAGAUUCAACAAAUUUCCACCAUGGAUCCAUUGAUCUCUAAGGAAAAUGGUGAUGAAGAACUCGAAGGAGCUGAGUGCUUUGCAUGUUGGAAGCCAUUACUAGAUUCUGUGUAUUUAUCUCCUGAUUGUGGAUUUUACCUACAUGCCAAAUGUUUAGAUCCAUGUGCAGUCAAUCACCUUCCCCUCCAUGAACAUCCUCUUAUUUUACAGUUUAACAGUGAACUUCUCUAUUGCAAGAUAUGCCAAGAAACCCAACGUAGGGGAUUUGUUUAUUGUUGUUCAAUUUGCAAGUUUGCUCUUCACAUUGAAUGCGGGUCACCACCACCAAUUAUUGAAGAUAAAAGUCACCAACACCCUUUUGUCUUAUUUUGUAGACGUGUCUCAUUUAUUUGUGAUGCAUGUGGCACUGAAGGGAAUUAUGUAUCCUACAUUUGUUCUACAUGUGGCGUUAUAGUUCAUAGAAAAUGUAUUUCAUUGCCACGCACCCUCAAACACCCAAGGCAUUUUGAGCACCCUAUUUCCCACACCUAUUUCCUUGGGCAAGAUAAGUUUAAAUUGUCGGAAUGCAGAAUUUGCCAUAUAGAGGAUGUGAAUUCAAAGCAUGGAAGCUACUCUUGUUUAGAUUGCGAUUAUAUUGUCCAUGUGAAUUGUGCAAUAGAAGAUUAUAAGUGGUACAAAUUUGACGAGUUAGAUGAGAAUGUUGAAGAAAAUUCAGAAUUGCAACCAUAUGCUGUUGUUGAGGAGACUAAAGAUGGAGAAAAUGUGAUAGCUAUCGAGAUAAAACAUUUUAGCCAUCAACACAACUUAAUCUUUAGCAAUGAGAUCAAGGAUGAUAAAUGUUGUGACGGUUGCGUGCUAUCCAUCUCUACUUCUUAUUAUUAUUGUUCACUGUGUAAUUUCUUUCUCCACAAAUCCUGUGCUGAAUUACCAAGAAAGAAGCAUCUCUGGUUUCACGAUCACCCAAAGCUUCAUCCACUUACUUCAGGCUACAUUUUCCGAUGUGUAAUUUGUGAGUGUGAAACUAGUGGUUUUGCCUACACUUGUGCUAAAUGCAAGGACUACUUUUGCCUUCGAUGUGCUGUAUUUUCUGAUAGCCACAAGUGUCAAGGACAUGAACACGUCCUCCCUUUUUAUGAAGAUUAUCAAGGGUUGUGUAAUGCCUGUGGUGAGUCUACAACAUGUGCAUACAGAUGCAAGAAAUGUGAUUUCUCUUUGCAUGAUACAUGUAUCAAAUUACCACUUAAAGCUCAACACAAAUCUGAUGUGCAUCACUUCACACUCACUUAUCAUGAUGGUAAUAAUUAUUCAGAAUCUCAUUAUUGUGAUAUUUGUGAAGAAGAAAGAAAUCCAAACCAUUGGUUUUAUUAUUGUGCAAAAUGUGACAAUUCAGCUCAUCCCAACUGCCUUCUUGAAAAAUACUCAUUUAUCAAGCUUGGGAGCAUCUACACAAAAGGAGAUCAUUCACACCCUCUCACUUUUGUCCAGAAGGUUCAUUAUUAUCCAAAAUGCCAUGAUUGUGGUGAGCCCUGCCUUGAUCUAGCUCUUGAAUGCAGAACAAUUGGAUCCAACUAUAUUGUUCAUUGGGAAUGUAUAAAAUAUCAAAAAGUUGGAAGAUAAAAAUAUUAUUGUUUGCCAAAAUAAUUAUUGUUGUUCAAGCAGCGAUGAGACAAAUAAGCAGUUUGAUGAUGGCACUGAAAUAUGCUGCUUUGCAUGGUUGUUCCUAAACUAUUUGUAAUUAUUCUGUGUUAAGUAUUUGUGUCCUUAUUUGGUUAUCGUCAUAUGAGAAUUUCCAAAAUUCUGACUUGAUAGAGGUAAUGUAAUUAGAAUUAGUUUAUGAUAUUUCUAUUACAUAUUUGAGCAUUGGAAGAUUGCUUGGUAUCUAUAAAGUUCUCUAUUUUUCAACUCAAUCAAUUGAUUUGCUAUUACUAUGAUGUGUUUAUUAUAGUUUAUUAGAUGUUAUGCACUAUUACAUGCUUCAAAAAUGCUGAACUUCCUCUUUGAUUAUAUUAAUUUGUACAGUAGUUUUGCACAUAAAUUUCCUCUUUAAAAACAUCCAUUAUGUUCUUUUGUUGAUUCUUCAAUAAUAUUGUAUACAUGCUCGUUUUCUCAUGAUGGAUGAAUCUAAGAGUAAUAGAAAGAGUCCAAUCCAUUUCUUAAUCUUUCCAAAAAUUCAUAACUCUUUUCAAAAGUCAAAAGAUUUGCAAGUUUCAUCUUCACUCAUAAGCAAAACUUGACUAAACUCUAAACCAAAUUUUAUUUUGAAGAAUUUUCCAUGCUUAAACUAUGAAUCUUCAGAAGAAGCUUUGCUUUAUUAAAGAGAUUGCAUUAAAUCAUUCUAUAUUAUUAUCAAAGAUGAUAACAAUGCACAGAAAUUUGCCUAAGAAACAACUACAAGAUCAAUGUAUAAAGGAAUGAAAUUUAGCAACAAGCAGACAACUUGAGAGGAAAAACUUACUUCUAUACCACGAGCUCCCAAGGGAAAAAAUUUAUAUUUUUGCUAAUCUUUAUGACUGCAAAUAUAAAGAAUUUUCCUUUCCUGAUUCUACAUUAAUGUUCAAUUUCCUUCUUCAACUCUUAAGAAUCAUGUUACAUUCUUAGAUGUGAUAUAAAAUGUCCAUGAAUAAGGCAAUAUGUUCGAUGUUUAGAUGGGCUUAAACACUUUAAAAUGAUAAGAGAUGGAGAGAUUUGGUGAGUUUAUAAUAAUAAGAUUUUGCUAACCUUGUCCUAAAAACACUUUUUAAGAUUACGAAAUUAAAUAAAAUUUUUAAUCUCAAUGUAUUAAAAUUAUUACAUUAACUAUCAAUUAGAUUCAAUGUAUGGUUUUUUAGAUUGUAGAUUUUUUUUUCUUUUUGUGCAGCUUAUACUUUGGAUGUGCUGCUUCUUGAUUAGCUACGCUUUGAGAAUGGUUCUACUUGCUAAUAACCAUGGCUUCCAUUGGUUGCUUACCUUUUUAAAAAAAAUAGCACAAUUGAUUAGAAUAUAAAUGAAACAAUCUAAAGUUUAAAGUUUGAGUGAUCUCUUUCUUCACCUUUCUGUCUCACUUUCCCUCCCACUCAAACUUAAAAUGAAAUGUUUAGUUUAAUAAGGUUCCAAAGUAGCUAUUUAGUCUCAAUUUAAUCAAAACAACUAAACUAAUCAAAAUUCUAAACUAUUUUAGCCUCUGCCUUUAAGACAAAAGCAACAAAAUCAGUACCAUUGAACAUUUUAAUAAAAUAACAAAGACAAUGUGAAUACAAGAUAAGAGAGGGAGGGAUGGGAUGUAAUGGAAAUCUUAAAGAUAAAAGCACUCCUGUCUAUAAGAAAGAGAUUGACAACAUCAAAGAUGAAUAUACCUUAUGAUACCUAGCUUUCUUGUUAAGCUUUACAAGCAUCAAAAACAUAUAAUUUGUAAUCCAAAAUCUCAUGUAAAAAAAAAAAAACCAUUCUAAAAUUUUGAAAGUAAUUACUAAUUCUCCCUCCAAUUGUACGCCAAGAAGAUAAGCAAGAAGGAAAAGAGAAUGAGAAUACUCUUUUGAUUAAAAGGACAGAGAAUGAGAAUGCUUCUUCCAAUUCAGCUUCGAUAUGUGAUUGAGAUUGAUGUUCCUUCGUUUUGCAUUUUGUUUUCUUUUGUUUAUCCUUUUGUUUUGUUUUUUUACUUAGUACUAUUGAUUAUUUCAUCUAAUGCUUCAACUUAGAAGUCGAAAUAAUUGGUCUUUAUAUAAUAAUUCCUGUGGGAUUUAUAUGUUUUCUUUCUUUUUUGUUUUUUAAACAUUUAAAAGCGGGCAUUUUUUUCUAGGUUCGAAGGAAGAGUCAUAGCUUCUGUUUUUGGCAUGUUAUUUGGUUGUUAAUGCUCUGUUUCAUGAAGUUUAUAAGAUCAUAGGUUCUCUAGUUUGGAACAGGUUUCAUUACUCUGAAAUUUAUGUAUAUUGCUCUUAGAAAUAAAUGGUUUUCAUGGAUGGCUUUCUUUGGCCUUUAUAUCUUUCAGGUUGCUUGAGUAUAUUAAUGCUUUAUCUAGUAUUAUUACACAUUUGCAUCCAAUUCAUUUUUGGUAUUUUUUGGGCAUCGUGCCCCUUCUGCUGUUUUUGUUGUAGAAUUUGUAUAUGUCUGCCUCAUUUGGGUUUAAGGAUAAGAGGACUCUGAGAAUAUUUGGGUUCAAAAGCUGUACGAUUGUUUUCCCAUAACAUUUUUUAUUUCUGUUGAUUUCUUUAUUCCAAGUAGACAUGUUAUAUCCACCCUUUGGUGUUCCUUGAAAAAAAAGGCUUGGUUGCUUGGUUCCCUAUUGUUAAUCACAUGAAGUUGUCUUACUUUUCAGAAAAAAAAAAAAGGAAAAGACUAAAGAGAAAGAAAAAGAGAAUAUUGAAGCCAUUCCAAGAGAAAAGGAGCAAGAAAGGGACAAAGAACUGCUAAUUGAACACGAAAAACAAAAGAAAAAAAAGUACAACGUCUAGUGCCCAAUUUAGUUUCGUGGAUCAAUUUAAUUUGGUUAUAGAAACUAAAUAAGUUUAAGAAAAAAAACAUUCUAAAGUUUUGAAAGUAAUUACUAAUGUUCCCUUGAACAAGAAGAAAUGAAAGAAAAGAGAAUGAGAAUACUCUUUUGGUUAAAGGAAAAGACUAAAGAGAAAGAGAAUAUUGAUGAUACCAUUCCAAAGAGAUGAAGGAGCAAGAAAGGGAUAAAGAGCUGAUAAUUAAACAAGAUAAACAAAAGAAAAAAGUCUAUAUCUAUCAUGCAAUUUAGUUUCAUGGAUUUAUUUAAUUUAUCUAACUUGUAAAAAUUGCAAGGAAUAAUUGUAUAUCUGUUGCAAGCUUAGAACCUUACAACUAGGGCCUUGUUAUUUCUUUGAACUAAGAAUCUAAUUAGCAUGCUGCUUAUUUACUUUAGUGGGAAAUUAAAUAGCUUCAAUUGCACAGGAAUUAAAGGCAUUUCUCAAUUCAAUAGAAUAUCUUUGAUUAUUGCUUAUUUUAGAUAACUUUCUAAAAAUUGCUUCCAUUAGAUAAUUAACUAAAAUUUAAGAUUUUGAAAAGAGAAUGAUUAAAUUAACCAUUUAGACCAACAAUCAAUAACAUGUUAUCCUCUUCAUAAGAAUCACCCUUCCAAAAUUUAAAAGAAUAUAUCUAUUUCUUAAUUUAUACCAAUCUUGUCAUGAGUAAAGAGAAAGCAAUGUUUGUAUCGACUGGAACUUGCUUCAUCGAAUCUGGGCAAUGAUUUACUGCUAUUGUAGACUAUGAACCUUUUGUAAAUCAUUCUCUGUUUUUGCAUAUUAAUGAAUAUAACUUUGCUUUUCAAAAAAAAAAAAAAAAAGAAAGCAAUGAAUAUAAGAGAUUACUUUCAAUAAAAAUAAAUUAUGAGUGCAUAUAUAUAUAUAUAUUUUUUCUUUUACUUUUAAAGAGUAACCUUUAGAUGCUCGACCUUUACUCUCCCUCGAAGUUAUGCCAUUCUAAUUUGAUAGUUCUCAUAGAUUUUUUGAGAUAAAAUAGAAAGAAAUAAGUAUUUUUUAAUGUUUUUCGAAAAAGAUAAAUUGUUUCAUUUCAAAAUGUAAUUAUAUAUAUAUGUAUAAUAUUUUAAAUUGAACUUGAGAUGUUGAUGUCUCAUAUUAAGAGAAAGCUUGGGUUCCUAUUGAUUGGUAAUACCAUACACACUUAUACAAUAUGAAAAAAACAGUGCAUAAAUUCUUGGUUUUAAUUACAAAUAUUGUUUAAUUAAUUAAAAAAAUAAAGAUGAAUUUGCUGAAAAUAAAGAAAGAAAACAACAGUAAGAAUUCCUUUCAUUCUAAACAAGUUGCCACUCUCAUAUAAAUAUUUGAACCAUGGACUUAAGCUUCCAUAAAUAACCAUAAACACAUUUUGCUGCUAAUCAACCCACAAACUUACAAAGAAACAAACAGAAAGGAGAGAUGGAGCUGCUUCAGCAUUUUAGCCAUGAACAUCCACUGAUUUUCAGUGAAGAGCAAGGCCAUGAAAGUGAGGAGCAGGCUUAUUGCUCAGGAUGUGGGGAGCUGGUGUUGGGUCCAAGCUUCAGCUGUGUGGAGUGUGGGUUUUACCUUGACAAGAAGUGCGCCGAGGCACCUUCACAGCUGAAUCACCCCUUUCACCGCAACCACAGCCUUAAUCUUCUAGCAAGCUCACCAUAUGAUGCAGGUCCGUUUAUUUGUGAUUUCUGUGGUGAAAUAUGUGACAAGUUUGUUUAUCAUUGUUCUUGUCAUUUAGACCUUCAUAUCAAAUGUGCAUUGUUUUCAUAUAACAUUGCUGAAAAAAGAAUUGGAGAGCUUCAACAAAUUACUCGUAUAGAUCCAUCGAUCUCUAUGGAAAUUGGUAAUGAAGAACUCGAAAGAGCUGAGUGCUUUGCAUGUUGGAAGCCGUUACUAGAUUCUGUGUACUUAUCUCCUGAUUGUGGAUUUUACCUACAUGCCAAAUGUGUUGAUCUACCUGCAGUCAAUCACCUUCCCCUCCAUGAACAUCCUCUUAUUUUACAGUUUAACAGUGAACUUCUCUAUUGCAAGAUAUGCCAAGAAACCCAACGUAGGGGAUUUGUUUAUUGUUGUUCAAUUUGCAAGUUUGCUCUUCACAUUGAAUGCGGGUCACCACCACCAAUUAUUGAAGAUAAAAGUCAUCAACACCCUUUCAUCCUAUUUUGGAGACGUGUCCCAUUCAUUUGUGAUGCAUGUGGCACUGAAGGGAAUUAUGUAUUCUACAUUUGUUCUACCUGCGGCAUUAUAGUCCAUAGGAAAUGCAUUUCAUUGCCGCGCACCCUUAAACACCCAUGGCAUUUUGAGCACCCCAUUUCCCACACCUAUUUCCUUGGGCAAGAUAAGUUUAAAUCAUGGGAAUGCAGAAUUUGCCAUCUAAAGGAUGUGAAUUCAAAGCAUGGAAGCUACUCUUGUUCUAUUUGCGAUUAUAUUGUCCAUGUGAAUUGUGCAAUAGAACAAUAUAACUGGUACGAUUUUGAUGAGUCUGGAAUAAUAGAUGAGAGUCUUGAAGAAAAUUCAGCGUUGCAACCAUAUUCUAUCAUUAAGGAGACCAAAGAUGGAGAAAAUGUGAUAGUCACCGAGAUAAAACAUUUUGGCCAUGAACACAAUUUAAUUUUAAGCAAUGAUGUCAAGGAUGACAAAUGUUGUGACGGUUGCGUGUUAUCCAUCUUUACUUCUUAUUACUAUUGUUCACAAUGUAAUUUCUUAAUUCACAAAUCUUGUGCUGAAUCACCGAGGAAGAAGCGCCUUUGGCGACACAGACACAUGAAGCCUCAUCAACUUAUUACUUCAGACGGCAUUCGCAUAUGUGAUUAUUGUAGGAAUAAAACUAGUGGUUUUGCCUACACCUGUGUUGAAUGCAACGAAUGUUGUUGCCUUCGAUGUGCUUUAAUUUCCGUUUCUCUCAAACAUCAAGGGCAUGAACACCCCCUCUCCAUUCAAAAGUAUCAAGGGUUGUGUAAUGCUUGUGGUAGGUCUUUCAAGUUUGCAUAUACAUUCAGAUGUAAGAGUUGCAAUUUCUCUUUGCACCUUAAAUGUAUGGAUCUAUCACAUAAAGCUCGACACAAAUCUGAUGUGCAUCAUUUCAUACUCACUUAUCAUGAUGAUAAUGAUUAUUCAGAAUCUCAUUAUUGUGACAUAUGUGAAGAAGAAAGAAAUCCAAACCAUUGGUUUUAUUAUUGUGCAAUAUGUGACACAUCAGCUCAUCCCCAUUGUAUUAUUGGAGAAUAUCCAUUUAUCAAGCUUGGGAGCAUCUACACAAAAGAAGAUCAUCCACACCCUCUCACUUUUGUUCAGAUGGUUUAUUAUUAUCCAGAAUGCCAUGCUUGUGGUGAGCUCUGCCUUGAUCUAGCUCUUGAAUGUAAAACAAUUGGAUGCAACUACAUUGUUCAUUGGAGAUGUGAAGAAUUUUCUUUGUUCAGUAGUGAUGAGACAGAUGAGACAAAUGAGUAGUUUAAUGGUGGCACUCAAAACUGCUGCUUUGUCUUGUUGUUUCUAAACCAUUCUGCCUAAGUAUUUGUGUUCUUGUUGGAUUGUUAUCAUUUGAGAAUUUCCAAAAUUCUGACUUAAUAGAAAUAAUGUAAUUGGAAUUAUUUUAUGAUAUUUCUAUUACAUAUUUGAAUAUUGGAAAAUCGUUUGGUAUCUAUAAGAAUCUCUGUUUUUCAACUCAAUCAAUUGAUUUGCUAUCACUCGAAGAGUUUAUUACAUAGUUUAUCAAAUAUUAUGCGUUGUUAUGUGUUUCAGAAAUGCUGAAUUUCUUCUUUGAUUAUAUUAAUUUUUUAGUAGUCUUGCACAUAAAUAUCCUUUUAAAAAAAUCUAUUUUGUUCUUUUGUUGAUUCUGCAAUAAUUGUAAACUUUAUCGUUUUCUAAUAAUGAUGGAUGAAUCAGAAAGUAAUAGAAAGAGUCCAAUCCAUUUCCUAAUCUUUGCUUUAAACUUGUCAAGGAAUUUUGCUAAAACUCCAUUUGGUCGAGCAAAGAUUUAUCACUGUCUUUUGCAUUAAAUCAUUCUAUAAUUUAUCAAAGAUCAUAACAAUACCUGCAAAAUUGCCUAAGAAACAAGUACCAUAAUGUCAAUAAAGGAAUGAAGAAUUGUACAAAAGAUUCUUUUUCCAGGUAUAACUUUGACAGAUAUUACAAUCAAUAAUAGAAUGUCAUUGACUUCUUCAUUUAACAGAUAAUAAGAACAACCCAAGUGCCUUCAAUUCUUUCCUCCAAACAAUCUCCCCUGUAAAAGAAACAUAUUUUCUACCAAAAAGAAAAUGUAAAAAAAAAAGGAAAACUAAAAGUUUAAUAUUACCUCUUGAUAAUACAACAACUAAUUAAAUUUGCUUGUGUUAACGUUUCAUUAAUUGUAAAUGAUUUAAUGUUAUGUAAUUGAGGGUGAGCCCAUGUUUAAAUUUUCUCGUAGGUUCAUCCCCUUAAACUCGUUAAAUUUGCAGGGAAGAUUCCAGAGGUUAAAGAUUUUAUACUUGCUAGUAACAUAAUUGAUUAGAAUAUAAACGAAACAAUUCCAAAAUAAUCAACUAAGGUUUAAAAUUUGAGUGAUCACCGUUUCUGCUCCUCUUUCUCUCCCUCCCACUCUCCCUCCACACUCAAACUUAGAACUUUGUUUGAUCAUAUUUGAAAUGUUUAGUUUAAUAAGGUUUCAAAGUGAAUACAAGACAAGCGAGGGGUGAGAUGUAAUGGAAACCUUAAGGCACCACUGUCUAUAAGAAAGAGAUUGACAACACCAAAGAUAAAUAUUUUUUUUUUCUAAUUUUCAAAAAAAAAAUCAAAGACUAAUAUACCUUAUGAUACCUAGCUUCCUUUCUAAGCUUUUCAAGAAUCAGAAACAUGUCAUUUAUAAUCCAAAAUCACAUGUAAACAAAAGCCAUUCUAAAGUUUUGAAAGUAAUUACUAAUGCUCCCUCCCAUUGUACGCCAAGAAGAAAAGUAAGAAGGAAAAGAGAAUGAGAAUACUCUUUUGGUUAAAGGAAAAGACUAAAGAGAAAGAGAAAGAAAAUACUGAUACCAUUUCAAGAGUAAAAGAGCAAGAAAGGGAUAAAGAACUGCUAAUUGCAAGGAAUAACUGUAAAUCUAUUGCAAGCUUAGAACCUUACAACUAUGGCCUUGGUAUUUUUUUGAGCAAAGAAUCUAAUUAACAUGCCGUUUAUUUACUUUAGUGGGAAAUUAAAUAGCUUCAAUUACAUAGGAAUCAAAGGCAUUUCUGAAUUCAAUAGAAUAUCUUUGAUUAUUGCUUAUUUUAGAUAACUUUCUAAAAAUUGUUUCCGUUAGAUAAUUAACUAUAAUCUAAGAUUUCGAAAAGAGAAUGAUUAAAUUAACCAUUUAGAUCAACAAUUGAUAAUGUGUUAUCCUCUUUAUAAGGAUCACUCUUCCAAGAUUUAAAAGAAUAUGUCUCUUUUUUAAUUUAUACCAAUCUUGUCAUGCGUAAAAAGAAAGUAAUAAAUAUAAGAGAUAACUUUUAAUAAAAAUAAAUUCUGAGAGCAUAAUUUUUUGUUUUGUUUUAGUUUUCAAGAGUAAUCUUUAGAUGUUCUGCCUUUGCUCCCCUUCAAAGUUAUGUCAGACUUUUGAUAGUGUUUAUAUAUUUUUAAAGAUAAGGCAAUAAUAGUCAUUUUCUAAUUCUUUUUGGAGGAGAUAAAUUGUUUAAUUCCAAAACGUAAUUAUAUAUUAUUAUAUAAUUAAGUUGAGAUGCUGAUGUAUUCUCCUUCAGACAAAGCUUGGGUUUUCUAUAGAUUGGUGUUACCAUGUACCCUUAUAUAAUAUGAAACGAAUGUGCAUAAUUCUUAGUUUUAAUUAGAAAUAUUGUCUUUCUUUACAAUAAUCAAAAUAUUUCAUUAUCAUAUGUACCAAAAAGUUAUUAAUAUGAUAUUUUAUUAUCAUACAAUGCUAAGUUGGCCUAGAACACUGUAAAUUGUGUGCCUUUUAUCAAACAGGUUUAAGGGAAGCUAGGAAAUGAUAAAACAGAGGAUCUCGCUUGGCAAACAAACUAAUGUAAUCAAGCUCAUGUGCUUUCUCCAACUACCCAAAUUUCUAUUAGAAAGUUAGAUUAAGUCCAAAUGAAUUAGAUUAAAUAUGAUCAAUUUGACAAGAAAAUAUUGGCAAUUACUUACUUUUGUAGAAAUGUGCAUUAUUUUUCGUAUGAAAAUAUAAGCUUAAAUAUGUUGCUUGCGUACAUCCAUUUAUCUUUAUUAUUGAAAAACAUUAUAAUGAACUCUAAAGCUAUGAUGGCUUCUAGUUUCCAAAACAAAUGUAUGGUUGUUUAGAUUGUAGAUUUUUUUUUCUUUUUUGUGUAGCCAAUAUUUUGGCUAUGCUACCACUUAAUUAACUGCCAAUCUGGUUUAACUGAAAAUUCUAACCAUUUGUACUCUUGUGAUUUGGGCUACAAAUGGCGAUUUGGUCAUACAUAUUUUGUUUUGACAAUGAGAAAUGACAAUUUUUUAAAAUUUUCCUUGAGGGAACACCUUAUCAAUUAGAACUUCAUACUUUUACUUGGAAGUCUCGUGUUUGAAUUUUCAUAUAAAUAAGAUGAGAUUUAUAAAAUGACAGAAGGUUAGUUUUUAUUAUGUAGUCCAAAAUCAAAAGGAAAAAAAAAAACCAUUCUUAAGUUUUAAUUUGGUUAUGGAAACCAACUACAAAAAAUUGAAAGGAAUUUGUAAAUCUCUUGCAAGCUUUAGAACCUUACAAUUUUUUAAAAAAAUUUUCCAUUUGAUAAUUAACUAUAUAUAAUCCAAGAUUUUGAAAGCAAAUAUCCAGGGUAUUAUAGAGAAAGAGUGGGUAGAUGUUAAUAAUAAUGAAAAAAAGAAGAAGAAAGAAUAGGUGAAAAAGAAAAAAAGAAAAAAGGGAAAUAAAGAGAAUUUUACUUUAUUCUUUUCAAGUUUAUUUUGUGAUUAAAUUAACCAUUUAGAUCAACAAUCAAUAACGUGUUAUCCUCUCUAUAAGAAUUACUUUUUCAAGAUUUAAAAUAAUAUAUCCUUUCUCAUAAGUGAAGAGAAAACAAGGAAUAUGAGAGAUAACUUUUAAUAAAAAAAUAAAUUCUGAAAGCAUAAUUUUUUUUUUCUUUUACAUUUUAAGAGUAACCUNAAAGCCAUAAUUUUUUUUUUUCUUUUACAUUUUAAGAGUAACCUUUAGAUGCUCCACCUUUGCCUCCCUUCAAAGUCAUGCCAUUAUUUUGAUAGUGUUUAUAGAUUUUUCGAGAUAAGGUAGAAAUAGCCAUUUUCUAAUACUUUUCAAAAGAGAUAAAUUGCUCCAUUCUAAAAUGUAAUUACAUAUAUAUAUAUUUCAAAUUUAAGUCGAAAUGCUGAUGUGUCCUCUUUCAAAUAAAGCUUGGGGUUCCUAUUGAUUGAUAAUACCAUAUACACUUAUACAAUAUGAAAUAUAUGUGCAUAAAUUCUUGAUUUUGAUUAGAAAUAAUUUUUCUUACAAUAAUCAAAAUAUUUCAUUAUCAUAUGUCAAAAAAAUAUUAAUAUGUUUUUUAUUCACAACAUAUUUAUUUUGCUUUGGCUACCAUGGGAAACAGUGGAAAGUAAUUAGAAAAAAUUAAAGAUGAAUUUGCAGAUAAACAUUGAAAGAGAUGGGAAAUGAAUCUUCCAUUUAAAAACUAGAUUGUUAUUCGAAGCAGAAAGAGAUAUAUUAGAAAGAAAGAAAGAGAAGAGGGGUAAAAAUUCCUUUCUUUUUAAACAAGUUGCCAUUCUCAUCACCGAAACAAUAUAAAUAUUUGAGUCAUAGGCUUAAGCUUCCAUAAGUAACCAUUAACACAUUUAGCUGCUACUCAAACCAAAAACUUACAUAGAACAAAAAAAAAAAGAGAGAUGAAGCUGCUUCAUCAAUUUAGCCAUCAACAUCCACUGAUUUUCAAUGAAGAACAAAGCCAUGAAAGUGAGAAGCAGGCUUAUUGCUCAGCAUGUGGGGAGUUGCUGUCGGGUCCAAGCUUCAGCUGUGUGGAGUGUGGGUUUUACCUUGACAUGAGGUGCGCCGAGGCACCUUCACAGCUAAAUCACCCCUUUCACCGCAACCACAGUCUUGAUCUUCUAACAAGCUCGCCAUAUAAGACAGGUUCGUGUACUUGUCAUUUCUGCAACAAAAAGUGUGAGAAGUUUGUUUAUGAUUGUUCUUGUACUUUAAACCUUCAUAUCAAAUG